Molecule: small RNA, 172 nt
Filed under: Chrysemys picta bellii (western painted turtle)
Lineage: Eukaryota; Metazoa; Chordata; Testudines; Emydidae
Description: TUC338 (ENSCPBG00000026435.1)
Source: RNAcentral
UUGACAUCACAGGAGAGUGAAGUCCUCAAUUAAUCUACAGAACAGGUACAGCCCAAGCAGUGGCAGUGCAACACUGCCCCACCAACGUGCCUCACAUCUGAUCUAGAGGGAUUUCUUUUGGGGAAAAGGGAGGCAUAUUUCAUUCUCCAUGUUUAUUCAAUCCCUGGCCUCU